AGAGUUUGAUCCUGGCUCAGGAUGAACGCUGGCGGCGUGCCUUAGGCAUGCAAGUCGAACGAAAAGUAGCAAUACUUUUAGUGGCAGACGGGUGAGUAACACGUAGGAAUCUACCCUUUGGUGAGGAAUAACGGUUCGAAAGGACCGCUAAUACCACAUAAGUCCGUAAGGAGAAAGACCGUAACUGGUCGCCGAUGGAGGAGCCUGCGUCCUAUCAGCUUGUUGGUGAGGUAAUGGCUCACCAAGGCUAUGACGGGUAGGGGGCGUGAGAGCGUGGCCCCCCACAAGGACACUGAGACACGGGUCCUACACCUACGGGUGGCAGCAACCGGGAAUAUUGCGCAAUGGAGGAAACUCUGACGCAGCGACGCCGCGUGCGGGAUGAAGGCCUUCGGGUUGUAAACCGCUGUGGAGAGGGAUGAAUUUUGACAGUACCUCUCUAGAAAGCACCUGCUAACUACGUGCCAGAAGCCUCGGCAAUACGUAGGGUGCAAGCGUUAUCCGGAUUUACUGGGCGUAAAGCGUCCGUAGGCGGUAUGGUAAGUGGUGGGUUAAAGACUCUGGCUCAACUAGAGGAAAGCUCGCCAAACUACCAAACUAGAGCUAGUUCGGGGAUACUGGAAUUCUCGGUGGAGGGGUGAAAUCCGUUGAUAUCGAGAAGAACGCCAAAGACGAAGGUAAGUAUCUAGAACUAUGCUGACGCUCAGGGACGAAAGCUAGGGUAGCAAACUGGAUUAGAGACCCAGGUAGUCCUAGCCGUAAACUAUGAACACUAGCUGGUUGGAUGAAUUUCUGACCGGCGCAAGCUAACGCGUUAAGUGUUCCGCCUGGGGAGUACGGCCGCAAGGCUAAAACUCAAAGGAAUUGACGGGGAAACGCACAACCGGCGUCCCAUGUGGUUUAAUUCGAAACGAAACGAAGAACCUUACCUAGGUUUGACAUCCCGAUCGUACGUCUUGGAAACAAGAUGGUCAGUUCGGCUGGAUCGGUGACAGCUGCUGCAUGGUUGUCGUCAGCUCGUGUCGUGAGGCGUCCUUUUAAGUAAGGUAACGAGCGCAACCCCUGUCGUAUGUUAAAUGUUCAUGCGAGACUGCCUUGGUGCAACCAAGGAGGAAGGAGGGGACGACGUCAAAUCAGCAUGGCGCUUACAUCUAGGGCUACACACAUGGGGUAAUGGCGAAUACAACGGGUCGCGAGGGAGUAAUCCGGAGCUAAUCCUUUAAAAUUCGCCUCAGUUCGGAUUGUGGGCUGCAAUUCGCCCACAUGAAGGGGAGUCGGUAGUAAUCGCAGGUCAGCUAUACUGCGGUGAAUACGUUCUCGUUUCUUGUACACACUGCCCGUCAAGUCAACAAAGUCAGCAGUGCCCGAAGUCGGAACCUCCUCGGAGGCCGCCUAAGGCAAGGUUGGCGAUGGGGGCUAAGUCGUAACAAGGUAGCCGUUCUGGAAGGAGCGGCUGGAUCACCU
RNAcentral lists this ribosomal RNA (1464 nucleotides) under Candidatus Chazhemtobacterium aquaticus. Its description in RNAcentral is "bacterial SSU rRNA". It matches the Rfam family "Bacterial small subunit ribosomal RNA". Lineage: Bacteria; Candidatus Chazhemtobacteraceae. The record is from RNAcentral.